Molecule: transfer-messenger RNA, 353 nt
Filed under: Sagittula salina
Lineage: Bacteria; Pseudomonadati; Pseudomonadota; Alphaproteobacteria; Rhodobacterales; Roseobacteraceae
Description: Alphaproteobacteria transfer-messenger RNA
Rfam family: Alphaproteobacteria transfer-messenger RNA
About the family: Bacterial tmRNA, also known as 10Sa RNA or SsrA, is named for its dual tRNA and mRNA-like properties. Its role is to liberate the mRNA from a stalled ribosome.
Source: Rfam by way of RNAcentral
CCCCUUUUCACCGCCUCGGACUACCCCUAUAUUCGUCUCGUUCCCUUCGGGGGACUAUGGGCAUAAACGCGCAUGUAAUAAACGGAUCGGACCCGGGGGCGGUACCCGGCGGCUCCACCAUAUAUCCCGUCGUUGGGGGAUCUUGGGGCCGAAACAGGAUCGACGAACGCGUAAAGAUGUAGCUUUGUCCCGGUGAGAUACCACCGUUAUCGGUUCACAUUGCAUAAUUGCCAACGACAAUCAUGCUCCGGUAGCACUGGCCGCGUAAGCGGUUGGUAACACCGAAACUUAAGCCCUUAUGCUUUGCAGCGUAAGGCGGGGCCCGUCGGAGCCUGGCAACAGAAUCCGACACC